RNAcentral lists this transfer RNA (72 nucleotides) under Bos taurus (domestic cattle). It matches the Rfam family "tRNA". Rfam says of the family: Transfer RNA (tRNA) molecules are approximately 80 nucleotides in length. RNAcentral also lists the same sequence under 3 other names. Lineage: Eukaryota; Metazoa; Chordata; Mammalia; Artiodactyla; Bovidae. The record is from Rfam by way of RNAcentral.
UCCCUGGUGGCUCAAAUGGUAAAGCGUCUGCCUACAAUGCAGGAGACCCAGGUUUGAUCCCUGGGUUGGGAA